CAUCCUACGGGGGGCAGCAGUGGGGAAUAUUGCACAAUGGGGGGAACCCUGAUGCAGCGACGCCGCGUGAGUGAAGAAGUAUUUCGGUAUGUAAAGCUCUAUCAGCAGGGAAGAUAAUGACGGUACCUGACUAAGAAGCCCCGGCUAACUACGUGCCAGCAGCCGCGGUAAUACGUAGGGGGCAAGCGUUAUCCGGAUUUACUGGGUGUAAAGGGAGCGCAGGCGGUACGGCAAGUCUGAUGUGAAAGCCCGGGGCUCAACCCCGGUACUGCAUUGGAAACUACCGGACUGGGGUGUCGGAGGGG
Molecule: ribosomal RNA, 305 nt
Filed under: uncultured bacterium
Lineage: Bacteria
Description: bacterial SSU rRNA
Rfam family: Bacterial small subunit ribosomal RNA
Source: RNAcentral